ACGACGACCGGCGGAUGGGUGCGUAACGCGUAUGCAACUUGCCUCACAGUGGAGAAUAACCCGGAGAAAUCCGGACUAAUGCUCCAUACACUCUUGAGUACGCCUGUGCGUAAGAGGAAAGAUUUAUCGCUGUGAGAUAGGCAUGCGUCCUAUUAGGUAGUUGGUGAGGUAACGGCUCACCAAGCCGACGAUAGGUAGGGGUGCUGAGAGGCAGAUCCCCCACAUUGGGACUGAGACACGGCCCAGACUCC
This 251-nucleotide ribosomal RNA is filed under the name uncultured bacterium. Its description in RNAcentral is "partial 16S ribosomal RNA". It matches the Rfam family "Bacterial small subunit ribosomal RNA", at positions 88 to 339 of the family's 1533-position model. The record is from RNAcentral.